RNAcentral lists this ribosomal RNA (448 nucleotides) under uncultured bacterium. RNAcentral describes it as "SSU rRNA". It matches the Rfam family "Bacterial small subunit ribosomal RNA", at positions 26 to 518 of the family's 1533-position model. The record is from RNAcentral.
AGAGCGAACGCUGGCGGCAGGCCUAACACAUGCAAGUCGAGCGCCCGUAGCAAUACGGGAGCGGCAGACGGGAGAGUAACACGUGGGAACGCGCCCUUCGGUUCGGAAUAACUCAGGGAAACUUGAGCUAAAUACCGGAUACGCCCUUACGGGGAAAGAUUUAUUGCCGAAGGAACGGCCCGCGUCCGAUUAGCUUGUGGUGAGGUAACGGCUCACCAAGGCGACGAUCGGUAGCUGGUCUGAGAGGAUGACCAGCCUCACUGGGACUGAGACACGGCCCAGACUCCUACGGGAGGCAGCAGUGGGGAAUAUUGGACAAUGGGCGCAAGCCUGAUCCAGCCAUGCCGCGUGGAUGAUGAAGGCCCUAGGGUUGUAAAGUCCUUUUAACGGGGAAGAUAAUGACGGUACCCGUAGAAUAAGCCCCGGCUAACUUCGUGCCAGCAGCCGC